AUGCGUGCCAGCGCCCAUGCAAAUCUGCUGUACAUCCAGAGAGCAAAGUGGGAUGAUCUGUCACUACACCUGCAGCACCACGCUCGGAGGACAGCUCCUGCCUGCAGCUUCCAGACCCAGGAAGCCUGAGGGGAAGGAAGGAAGUACGGGCGAAAUCAUCAGAUUGGCUUCCCAGAUUUGGGAAUCUGAAGCGGGCCCACAUCUUCCGGCCAACUUCCAUUGAACUUCCCAGCACUCGAAAGGGACCGAAAUGGAGAGCAAAGUUCUGGAGACUGGGAAGUCUAAGACUGAGGGGUUGCCUCUGGUGAGAACCUUCUUCCUGCAUCAUAACGCGGCAGAAAACCUCACGUGGUGAGAGGACAAGAGCAUGUCAGCUCACGUCUCUCUUGCUCUUCUUGUAAAAUCACCAAUCCCAUCAUGGGGGCGCAACUCUAGUGACCUUAUCUGAUCCUAAUUGUCUCCCAAAGGCCUCAUCUCCAGAAGCCAUCAACGUAUGAAUUUGGGGAUUACGUUUCCAACACAUGAAAUUUGGGGGGUAUAUUCUACUAUGAUUGAAUGAACAUGCCAUAAUCCCUUUGUCUUAUUUCCAAGGCCUGGAUAAUUUUUUCCUAACAAGCAAGUGUGACAGAUCUUCUACCUUUAAAGGAAAACUGAGAUCAGGAUUUAUAUGUGAAAUUCUUUCUUAAAUAAAUAUAGGCUAAAUAAAGUGUGCUUGAGGACUGGCAACUGUGGAUUGCCACCUUGCAAACCAGGUAUAAACCAUUAUUCAAUUUGUGGACUCUAAAAAUAGCCUAUUCAUCAUGUGAUGACACUCAUUCUAUUCAUUGUAUCCAUCGUGUGCAGCUAUGCGCCCCAUGUUUCACUAUUAAAGCCUGUUAUCCAACUUUUGAAAAUAGGCAGUCUCCUGUUCAAAUGUCCUUACCAGACAUUUCAAGCCUCAGCUCUACUACGUUCUUCAGAAAAUUUCAGCAGAUUUGCUCCUUUUGCAUAACUUUACUCUAACAGACAAGCUGCUUACCCUCUUAAUAUUUAAGCAAUUAAAGGCAAGACUGAGAAUGAAAGUGUCUAGACAAAGUAAGACCAAAACCGUUUAAAUCCUUCUUACAAUAUUCUUAGGCAGAGGAAUGCAAUUUGAGGAUUUUUAUAAAAAGAGGACUUUUUUUUCCUGGUUUUUCCUUUGUUCUGGAGCCUUCUACCAUUUGAGCCAGUAUCUUUCAAGCCUCAGAGCGAGGGCAGAAGCACCCCAGAACAAAGAAAUCAAUGCCUAGCUUUGAAUUGAAAAAUGAACUUUUAAAAGUGCACCACAGAAAAAAAUAGCUUUGAAACCCAAUGCAGGCUUCUUGUGAGAUUGUUUUUUGGUUUGUUUGUUUGUUUAGUUACAAAGAUUGAUUUUGCUAAUAAAGAUUCAAAGUUUGGUGAACUC
RNAcentral lists this long non-coding RNA (1423 nucleotides) under Macaca mulatta (Rhesus monkey). RNAcentral describes it as "lncRNA (ENSMMUG00000055638.1)". The record is from RNAcentral. Lineage: Eukaryota; Metazoa; Chordata; Mammalia; Primates; Cercopithecidae.